Molecule: ribosomal RNA, 292 nt
Filed under: uncultured bacterium
Lineage: Bacteria
Also listed under: 1 other name
Description: partial 16S ribosomal RNA
Source: RNAcentral
GGACUACUGGGGUAUCUAAUCCUGUUUGAUCCCCACGCUAUCGCGCCUGAGCGUCAGAAACGGGCCAGUGAGCCGCCUUCGCCACCGGUGUUCUUCCCAAUAUCUACGAAUUUCACCUCUACACUGGGAAUUCCACUCACCUCUCCCGUACUCAAGCCAAACAGUUUCAAAGGCAAUUCCGAGGUUGAGCCUCGGGCUUUCACCCCUGACUUGAAUGGCCGCCUGCGCGCGCUUUACGCCCAGUAAUUCCGAACAACGCUAGCCCCCUUCGUAUUACCGCGGCUGCUGGCAC